CGUACGAAAGCUUUUUGCUUAAGUGGCGGACGGGUGAGUAACACGUAAGAAUUUACCUUUAGGAGGGGGACAACAGCUGGAAACGGUUGCUAAUACCCCAUAUGCUUUCGAGUGGAAUGGAAUUUUCCGCCUAGAGAGAAGCUUGCGGCUGAUUAGCUUGUUGGUGAGGUAAUGGCUUACCAAGGCGACGAUCAGUAUCUGGUUUGAGAGGACGAUCAGACACACUGGAACUGAGACACGGUCCAGACUCCUACGGGAGGCAGCAGUAGGGAAUUUUCCGCAAUGGGCGAAAGCCUGACGGAGCAAUCUCGCGUGAGGGAUGAGGGCCUAUGGGUUGUAAACCUCUUUUUUCAGGGAGGAAUAAUUGACGUGUACCUGAAGAAUAAGCAUCGGCUAACUCCGUGCCAGCAGCCGCGGUAAGACGGAGGAUGCAAGUGUUAUCCGGAAUCACUGGGCGUAAAGCGUCUGUAGGUGGUUUAAUAAGUCAACUGUUAAAUCUUGAGGCUCAACCUCAAAAUCGCAGUCGAAACUAUUAGACUAGAGUAUAGUAGGGGUAAAGGGAAUUUCCAGUGGAGCGGUGAAAUGCGUAGAUAUUGGAAGGAACACCGAUGGCGAAGGCACUUUACUGGGCUAUUACUAACACUCAGAGACGAAAGCUAGGGUAGCAAAUGGGAUUAGAUACCCCAGUAGUCCUAGCUGUAAACAAUGAAUACUAGAUGUUGAACAGAUCGACCUGUGCAGUAUCAAAGCUAACGCGUUGAGUAUCCCGCCUGGGAAGUAUGCUCGCAAGAGUGAAACUCAAAGG
Molecule: ribosomal RNA, 805 nt
Filed under: uncultured cyanobacterium
Lineage: Bacteria; Bacillati; Cyanobacteriota
Description: bacterial SSU rRNA
Rfam family: Bacterial small subunit ribosomal RNA
Source: RNAcentral